UGAACGCGAAGAACCUUACCUGGGCUUGACAUGUAAUGAACAACAUGUGAAAGCAUGCGACUCUUCGGAGGCGUUACACAGGUGCUGCAUGGCCGUCGUCAGCUCGUGUCGUGAGAUGUUUGGUUAAGUCCAGCAACGAGCGCAACCCCUGUUGCCAGUUACCAGCACGUGAAGGUGGGGACUCUGGCGAGACUGCCCAGAUCAACUGGGAGGAAGGUGGGGACGACGUCAGGUCAGUAUGGCCCUUAUGCCCAGGGCUGCACACGUACUACAAUGCCCAGUACAGAGGGGGCCGAAGCCGCGAGGCGGAGGAAAUCCUAAAAACUGGGCCCAGUUCGGACUGUAGGCUGCAACCCGCCUACACGAAGCCGGAAUCGCUAGUAAUGGCUCUCAGCUACGGCGCCGUGAAUACGUUCCCGGGUUUCGUCACUCCG
Molecule: ribosomal RNA, 434 nt
Filed under: uncultured bacterium
Lineage: Bacteria
Description: bacterial SSU rRNA
Rfam family: Bacterial small subunit ribosomal RNA
Source: RNAcentral